AAACAGCCCCCUAUGUUUUGGAUUUUUGGCAAUUUUGGCCCCUAAGAGCACUUUUGACUUAGUCUUCGUUGAAGUGGCACCCACAAUGGUCGAUACGUGGCACCUCACUUAAGGGAUGUGGGUGUCACGUCAACGAAGACCAAGUCAAAAGUGGCAUUGGGGGCCAAAACUGCUAAAGAUCCAAUACAUAGGGGGCUGUUU
Medicago truncatula (barrel medic) is the source of this 201-nucleotide microRNA precursor. It matches the Rfam family "MIR2619 microRNA precursor family". The record is from Rfam. Lineage: Eukaryota; Viridiplantae; Streptophyta; Magnoliopsida; Fabales; Fabaceae.